GUCGCUAUGACGGAGUGGUCCAACGUAAUGGUCUGCAAAACCAUAUAACCGCUGGUUCGAAUCCAGCUAGCGACUCCA
Molecule: transfer RNA, 78 nt
Filed under: Rhizobium phage RHph_TM61
Lineage: Duplodnaviria; Heunggongvirae; Uroviricota; Caudoviricetes; Kleczkowskaviridae
Also listed under: 4 other names
Description: tRNA-Cys
Rfam family: tRNA
About the family: Transfer RNA (tRNA) molecules are approximately 80 nucleotides in length. Their secondary structure includes four short double-helical elements and three loops (D, anti-codon, and T loops).
Source: RNAcentral